AAGGAUUUAAGUUAAUUAAACUCUUAACCUUCAAAGUUAAUAAUAGAUAAAAUUCAUCUAAGCCUUA
This 67-nucleotide transfer RNA is filed under the name Paridea transversofasciata. RNAcentral's name for it is "tRNA-Trp". The record is from RNAcentral. Lineage: Eukaryota; Metazoa; Arthropoda; Insecta; Coleoptera; Chrysomelidae.